This 21-nucleotide unclassified non-coding RNA is filed under the name Mus musculus (house mouse). Its description in RNAcentral is "oocyte_clustered_small_RNA6646". Lineage: Eukaryota; Metazoa; Chordata; Mammalia; Rodentia; Muridae. The record is from RNAcentral.
GAAGGGGUCACAAAGAGCAUC